AGCAGCAGCCGCGGGAAUACCGAGGGUGCGAGCGUUAAUCGGAUUUACUGGGCGUAAAGCGUGCGUAGGCGGCUUCUUAAGUCGGAUGUGAAAUCCCUGAGCUUAACUUAGGAAUUGCAUUCGAUACUGGGAAGCUAGAGUAUGGGAGAGGAUGGUAGAAUUCCAGGUGUAGAGGUGAAAUGCGUAGAGAUCUGGAGGAAUACCGAUGGCGAAGGCAGCCAUCUGGCCUAAUACUGACGCUGAGGUACGAAAGCAUGGGGAGCAAACAGGAUUAGAUACCCCCGUAGUCCCUGUCUCUUAUAC
Molecule: ribosomal RNA, 303 nt
Filed under: uncultured bacterium
Lineage: Bacteria
Description: partial 16S ribosomal RNA
Rfam family: Bacterial small subunit ribosomal RNA
Source: RNAcentral